RNAcentral lists this small nucleolar RNA (70 nucleotides) under Drosophila willistoni. RNAcentral describes it as "snoRNA:GK26496". The record is from RNAcentral. Lineage: Eukaryota; Metazoa; Arthropoda; Insecta; Diptera; Drosophilidae.
UCGCCCAUUAUAAAUGGUGUUUCCAUGGUCUUAUCCAACUUGUCGUAGGCCUUAUAGAAUUGCUUGCAAU